Non-coding RNA from Drosophila suzukii, 632 nucleotides. Lineage: Eukaryota; Metazoa; Arthropoda; Insecta; Diptera; Drosophilidae. The record is from RefSeq and is a predicted model, not a curated record.
GUUGUUGUUGUUGCUUGUUGUUUUUCUGGAAGGCACGCGACUUUUUUCGUCUUUUUCACUUGCGUUUACUUAUGGGAAAGAGUUAGAAUUGCCCGCAAUUAACGUAGUUACAUAAAAUAAGCCAGUGGUUUAAAAGUGAUACCUAUACGAUUCCCAGACAAGGCUGAUGGUAAAUCUAUAAAAAAAAUGGAAGGCUAAGGAUCCAUCUUAAGAAUAUUAUCCGAGGAACUUGUUCUGUCCCACAACUUGGAGGGGGGGCAAAACAAGAAGAAGCUCAGUAUACCCAAAUUUCGUCCGCGCCUUGUUAAAUGCAAUCGUUCUGGUGGAGCCCUCGGAGCCUCCGGAAAAGUCGCUGACGAUGGCAAUGCGGUGCGUUAAAAACUUGAGUUGUACCAAAAAAAAGGCAACGCUGGCACCAGAUGCUGAGGAGGAGGUGCCAGCGACCACGAUAACACCGGGAACCCCUGAGCUCAAAUUUUAAAAUAAAUAAAUAAAAAUUACAACUGAAAUUUUAUUUGCUGCUAAGCGCUCAACGUGUGCUGAAUGUGCGCUUUUUCGCUACUUGAUUGAGCGCUCAACGUGUGUUUUCUCCGCUGCUUAAUCGAGCGCUCAACGUGUGCUGAUUGUGUGCU